ACAGCCACGAGAGAUCCUCGAAUCCUCUUCUUUCCCGAAGCGAGAGCUUCUUCCAUCUACGCGUUUCACACCUUCCUCCAUCCUAAAGGCUGUAAAUGGCUGUCUCCAAAGUUGCAAGUCUUAAAAACUUGAAUUUUGGGGCAUCAUGCUAGAAGAUAGAAAUGACUCAACGCUGGAUUGAUGAUGCGAAGUAUUUAAAUUCCACAUUUCCUAAUGUUCAUUCCUCGUCACAGUCUUCGUCUCAUUCCCUUCCACGAAACAGAAAUGUUUGUCAGUUGCUAGCGAAGCGGGAAAUCUCACCUAGAGCAAAAUGUUCCUCGAAAAAAGUAUGGGGAGAGACUUCAAAAUUUAGGGUUGAUUGCUCUGGGCCAAAGUGCGAUGUGAUAGAUGCAAAACUUGCUCUUCUUUCUUGGGUCGAAGCAGAGUCUCUGUGUCAUUUGUUAGCCAAGUACUGCCCUCUUCUUCCUCCCCCAAGAUCCACGAUAGCUGCAGCAUUUAGUUCUGAUGGGAAAACACUUGCCUCAACACAUGGUGAUCACACAGUUAAGAUAAUUGAUUGCCAUACUGGAAGCUGCUUAAAGGUCUUGAGUGGUCACCGUCGAACACCAUGGGUGGUUAGGUUCCACCCUCUAUACCCUGAAAUUCUUGCCAGUGGUAGUUUGGAUCAUGAAGUUCGUAUCUGGGAUGCACAUACUGCUGAUUGUAUAGGGUCACGUAAUUUUUAUCGCCCUAUAGCUUCUAUUGCUUUCCAUGCCCAGGGAGAACUACUUGCUGUAGCUUCAGGCCACAAGUUGUAUGUAUGGAACUACAAUAGGAGAGGGGAAACAUCUUCUCCAACAAUUGUUCUGAAGACUAGACGGUCAUUAAGGGCUGUGCAUUUUCAUCCACAUGGUGCCCCGUUUCUAUUGACAGCCGAGGUUAACGAUCUUGAUUCUCCAGAUUCAACAUUGACACUUGCAACUACAUCUGGUUAUUUGCAAUAUCCACCUCCUGCUGUCCUUUUUGCCAAUAUGAAUUCUAGUCUACAGUCAUUUGUGGAGGCCAAAGUUCCAGUAAUGCCUUCUCCAUACUUUUUUAUGCCAACAUUUCAGAAGGAUGAUGUUCCGACAUCAUUACAGCUUAUUGGCAGGGGGGGUGGUGUUUCUGGAAAUGACCAGCAAAGGCCUGAUGGUCCUAUAUCUAAUCUACAAGGAUCAGUGAAUUGGGGGAGCCAGCUGGACAAUUCAGUGACUCUUAUGGAAAUGUCUCCUGCAGAAAGUCAUGGCUCUAGUUUUACUGAUACUGAUUUUCAUUCUUUUGCGCCUAGGGUUGAAGCUUCAAAUUAUAGUUCACUUGUUGGGGGUACGGAUUCAACCAGUGGUCAACCUAGUAGUUGGUUUCAACAUAGAUAUACAAGCAAUGCUGAGAGAACAGAUGUUUCGAAUGCUUUACCGGUGGCUCUUAGGAUACCUAUCAGACAAGCUAGAAGUGGCAGUGACAGUAAUAUUGCCAUAAACUCCUCAAGCUCUUCUGGAAAUGCUGAAAUUCAAAUGCUUCUAGGGAGCAUAGAAGCAGGACAAGUUCAGCAGUUUAUUCCUGUCACUGAUUCAGCUAGCUGGGAGCUUCCUUUUUUGCAGGGUUGGCUUAUGGGUCAAUCUCAUGCAGGCUUGCACUCAUUGUUUCCAGCAAACAGUACAUUUCAUGGUAGUCUUUCAACAGCUCUUGGAACUGGCCCCAGCUUAUCGGCUGAUCAGUCAUAUAAUCGCAGCAUGGAGGCUCUGAUAGCUUCUUCAGCGACAGUGAAUGCUUCAAACAAUUCCCGUGGAACUGGACGGACUAGCUCUCGUAGUAGGAAUCGCUCCCGAACUUUAGCUUCAACUGGUGCUGGCGAGGGUUCGACUUUUUUAAAUGCCCAAAAUGAUGAACCUCGGCUCCAUCUAGGUCCAGCUGGUAUUGAAACUGAAAAUGCUUCUUCACUGGCUACUGCAACAACUGCAGAGCUGCCGUGUACUGUGAAACUUAGAAUAUGGCCACAUGAUAUUCAAGAUCCCAGUGCCUCCCUAGAUCCAGAAACAUGCCGCUUAACCAUACCACAUGCCGUCCUUUGCAGUGAAAUGGGUGCCCAUUUUUCACCUUGUGGGAGGUUCUUGGUAGCUUGUGUUGCAUGCAUGCUACCUGACUUGGAAGGUGAUUCUGGACUUCAAUCACAGGUAAGCCUUUAUGCUGUUGAUGUUACAACAUCUCCUACACGCCAUCCAAUUUCUGCACACCAGGUCAUGUAUGAGCUUCGCAUCUAUUCACUUGAAGAGGCAACAUUUGGUUCAGUGUUAGCUUCUAGAGCGAUACGAGCUGCUCAUUGUUUGACAUCUAUUCAGUUCUCUCCGACAUCAGAGCACAUACUACUGGCAUAUGGACGCCGCCAUAGUUCACUUCUUAGAAGCAUUGUCAUUAAUGGAGACACUGCAAUCCCCAUCUACACGAUCUUGGAGGUUUAUAGAGUUUCAGAUAUGGAGCUUGUUAGAGUUCUUCCCAGUGCUGAAGAUGAGGUUAAUGUUGCAUGUUUUCAUCCUCUUCCUGGAGGAGGUCUUGUUUAUGGAACUAAGGAAGGAAAGCUUAGAAUUCUUCAUUAUGAUGGUUCAAGAGAGAUAAAUGGCGUGGGUUCAAAGCUUUCGACUGAUGAAAAUAUGCUUGAGGUGCAGAAGUACGCUUUAGAAUGAUGACCAAUGCAUUGCUGAACAUUGGCAAGCUCUACCGGUGUAAGGGUAUUUUUCUUCUUACAUGGUCACAGUUAAAAUAGAUGGAAUGCUGACCUAAGGAGAGUCCCAAGUUGCAUAAAGAACAUGCGAUAUGGGAGCUUUUCGAAUGAUGUUAGCAUCUUUGUGGGG
RNA transcript from Phalaenopsis equestris, 2864 nucleotides. RefSeq lists it as uncharacterized. The record is from RefSeq and is a predicted model, not a curated record. The transcript is spliced from 17 exons. NCBI's taxonomy places the organism in Eukaryota, Viridiplantae, Streptophyta, Magnoliopsida, Asparagales, Orchidaceae.